UAAGCGACUAAGCGUACACGGUGGAUGCCCUGGCAGUCAGAGGCGAUGAAGGACGUGCUAAUCUGCGAUAAGCGUCGGUAAGGUGAUAUGAACCGUUAUAACCGGCGAUUUCCGAAUGGGGAAACCCAGUGUGAUUCGUCACACUAUCAUUAACUGAAUCCAUAGGUUAAUGAGGCGAACCGGGGGAACUGAAACAUCUAAGUACCCCGAGGAAAAGAAAUCAACCGAGAUUCCCCCAGUAGCGGCGAGCGAACGGGGAGCAGCCCAGAGCCUGAAUCAGUGUGUGUGUUAGUGGAAGCGUCUGGAAAGGCGCGCGAUACAGGGUGACAGCCCCGUACACAAAAAUGCACAUGCUGUGAGCUCGAUGAGUAGGGCGGGACACGUGGUAUCCUGUCUGAAUAUGGGGGGACCAUCCUCCAAGGCUAAAUACUCCUGACUGACCGAUAGUGAACCAGUACCGUGAGGGAAAGGCGAAAAGAACCCCGGCGAGGGGAGUGAAAAAGAACCUGAAACCGUGUACGUACAAGCAGUGGGAGCACGCUUAGGCGUGUGACUGCGUACCUUUUGUAUAAUGGGUCAGCGACUUAUAUUCUGUAGCAAGGUUAACCGAAUAGGGGAGCCGAAGGGAAACCGAGUCUUAACUGGGCGUUAAGUUGCAGGGUAUAGACCCGAAACCCGGUGAUCUAGCCAUGGGCAGGUUGAAGGUUGGGUAACACUAACUGGAGGACCGAACCGACUAAUGUUGAAAAAUUAGCGGAUGACUUGUGGCUGGGGGUGAAAGGCCAAUCAAACCGGGAGAUAGCUGGUUCUCCCCGAAAGCUAUUUAGGUAGCGCCUCGUGAAUUCAUCUCCGGGGGUAGAGCACUGUUUCGGCAAGGGGGUCAUCCCGACUUACCAACCCGAUGCAAACUGCGAAUACCGGAGAAUGUUAUCACGGGAGACACACGGCGGGUGCUAACGUCCGUCGUGAAGAGGGAAACAACCCAGACCGCCAGCUAAGGUCCCAAAGUCAUGGUUAAGUGGGAAACGAUGUGGGAAGGCCCAGACAGCCAGGAUGUUGGCUUAGAAGCAGCCAUCAUUUAAAGAAAGCGUAAUAGCUCACUGGUCGAGUCGGCCUGCGCGGAAGAUGUAACGGGGCUAAACCAUGCACCGAAGCUGCGGCAGCGACGCUUAUGCGUUGUUGGGUAGGGGAGCGUUCUGUAAGCCUGCGAAGGUGUGCUGUGAGGCAUGCUGGAGGUAUCAGAAGUGCGAAUGCUGACAUAAGUAACGAUAAAGCGGGUGAAAAGCCCGCUCGCCGGAAGACCAAGGGUUCCUGUCCAACGUUAAUCGGGGCAGGGUGAGUCGACCCCUAAGGCGAGGCCGAAAGGCGUAGUCGAUGGGAAACAGGUUAAUAUUCCUGUACUUGGUGUUACUGCGAAGGGGGGACGGAGAAGGCUAUGUUGGCCGGGCGACGGUUGUCCCGGUUUAAGCGUGUAGGCUGGUUUUCCAGGCAAAUCCGGAAAAUCAAGGCUGAGGCGUGAUGACGAGGCACUACGGUGCUGAAGCAACAAAUGCCCUGCUUCCAGGAAAAGCCUCUAAGCAUCAGGUAACAUCAAAUCGUACCCCAAACCGACACAGGUGGUCAGGUAGAGAAUACCAAGGCGCUUGAGAGAACUCGGGUGAAGGAACUAGGCAAAAUGGUGCCGUAACUUCGGGAGAAGGCACGCUGAUAUGUAGGUGAAGUCCCUCGCGGAUGGAGCUGAAAUCAGUCGAAGAUACCAGCUGGCUGCAACUGUUUAUUAAAAACACAGCACUGUGCAAACACGAAAGUGGACGUAUACGGUGUGACGCCUGCCCGGUGCCGGAAGGUUAAUUGAUGGGGUUAGCGCAAGCGAAGCUCUUGAUCGAAGCCCCGGUAAACGGCGGCCGUAACUAUAACGGUCCUAAGGUAGCGAAAUUCCUUGUCGGGUAAGUUCCGACCUGCACGAAUGGCGUAAUGAUGGCCAGGCUGUCUCCACCCGAGACUCAGUGAAAUUGAACUCGCUGUGAAGAUGCAGUGUACCCGCGGCAAGACGGAAAGACCCCGUGAACCUUUACUAUAGCUUGACACUGAACAUUGAGCCUUGAUGUGUAGGAUAGGUGGGAGGCUUUGAAGUGUGGACGCCAGUCUGCAUGGAGCCGACCUUGAAAUACCACCCUUUAAUGUUUGAUGUUCUAACGUUGACCCGUAAUCCGGGUUGCGGACAGUGUCUGGUGGGUAGUUUGACUGGGGCGGUCUCCUCCUAAAGAGUAACGGAGGAGCACGAAGGUUGGCUAAUCCUGGUCGGACAUCAGGAGGUUAGUGCAAUGGCAUAAGCCAGCUUGACUGCGAGCGUGACGGCGCGAGCAGGUGCGAAAGCAGGUCAUAGUGAUCCGGUGGUUCUGAAUGGAAGGGCCAUCGCUCAACGGAUAAAAGGUACUCCGGGGAUAACAGGCUGAUACCGCCCAAGAGUUCAUAUCGACGGCGGUGUUUGGCACCUCGAUGUCGGCUCAUCACAUCCUGGGGCUGAAGUAGGUCCCAAGGGUAUGGCUGUUCGCCAUUUAAAGUGGUACGCGAGCUGGGUUUAGAACGUCGUGAGACAGUUCGGUCCCUAUCUGCCGUGGGCGCUGGAGAACUGAGGGGGGCUGCUCCUAGUACGAGAGGACCGGAGUGGACGCAUCACUGGUGUUCGGGUUGUCAUGCCAAUGGCACUGCCCGGUAGCUAAAUGCGGAAGAGAUAAGUGCUGAAAGCAUCUAAGCACGAAACUUGCCCCGAGAUGAGUUCUCCCUGACUCCUUGAGAGUCCUGAAGGAACGUUGAAGACGACGACGUUGAUAGGCCGGGUGUGUAAGCGCAGCGAUGCGUUGAGCUAACCGGUACUAAUGAACCGUGAGGCUUAACCU
This 2900-nucleotide ribosomal RNA is filed under the name Escherichia coli DEC15A. Its description in RNAcentral is "bacterial LSU rRNA". It matches the Rfam family "Bacterial large subunit ribosomal RNA". Lineage: Bacteria; Pseudomonadati; Pseudomonadota; Gammaproteobacteria; Enterobacterales; Enterobacteriaceae. The record is from RNAcentral.